AACCCUUGUCCUUAGUUACCAGCACGUUAUGGUGGGCACUCUAAGGAGAACUGCCGGUGACAAACCGGAGGAAGGUGGGGAUGACGUCAAGUCAUCAUGGCCCUUACGGCCUGGGCUACACACGUGCUACAAUGGUCGGUACAAAGGGUUGCCAAGCCGCGAGGUGGAGCUAAUCCCAUAAAACCGAUCGUAGUCCGGAUCGCAGUCUGCAACUCGACUGCGUGAAGUCGGAAUCGCUAGUAAUCGUGAAUCAGAAUGUCACGGUGAAUACCGUUCCCGGGCCUU
This 285-nucleotide ribosomal RNA is filed under the name uncultured Pseudomonas sp. Its description in RNAcentral is "partial 16S ribosomal RNA". It matches the Rfam family "Bacterial small subunit ribosomal RNA", at positions 1100 to 1382 of the family's 1533-position model. The record is from RNAcentral. Lineage: Bacteria; Pseudomonadati; Pseudomonadota; Gammaproteobacteria; Pseudomonadales; Pseudomonadaceae.